CCCGCACAAGCGGUGGAGCAUGUGGUUAAUUCGAUGAUACGCGAGGAACUUACCUGGGCUCAAAUGUAUGUUGACGUAUUCUGAAAGGGAUACUUCUUCGGACAAUAUACAAGGUGCUGCAUGGUUGUCGUCAGCUCGUGCCGUGAGGUGUCGGGUUAAGUCCCAUAACGAGCGCAACCCCUAUCAUUAGUUGCCAUCAGGUCAAGCUGGGGACUCUAAUGAAACUGCCUACGCAAGUAGUGAGGAAGGUGGGGAUGACGUCAAAUCAGCACGGCCCUUACGUCCAGGGCUACACACGUGCUACAAUGGCCGGUACAAAGGGCAGCUACCUGGUGACAGGAUGCUAAUCUCAAAAGCCGGUCUCAGUUCGGAUCGGAGUCUGCAACCCGACUCCGUGAAGCUGGAAUCGCUAGUAAUCGUGAAUCAGAAUGUCACGGUGAAUACGUUCCCGGGCCUU
RNAcentral lists this ribosomal RNA (457 nucleotides) under uncultured Sphingobacteriales bacterium. RNAcentral describes it as "bacterial SSU rRNA". It matches the Rfam family "Bacterial small subunit ribosomal RNA", at positions 920 to 1382 of the family's 1533-position model. Lineage: Bacteria; Pseudomonadati; Bacteroidota; Sphingobacteriia; Sphingobacteriales. The record is from RNAcentral.